GUGAGGAAUCUUCCGCAAUGGACGAAAGUCUGACGGAGCAACGCCGCGUGAGUGAAGAAGGUUUUCGGAUCGUAAAGCUCUUUCGUCAGGGACGAACGUAUUUCUUGUAAAUAAUGAGAGAUAGUGACGGUACCUGAAUAAGAAGCCACGGCUAACUACGUGCCAGCAGCCGCGGUAAUACGUAGGUGGCAAGCGUUGUCCGGAAUUAUUGGGCGUAAAGCGCGCGCAGGCGGGAUAUCAAGUCUGUCUUAAAAGUGCGAGGCUCAACCUCGUGAGGGGACAGAAACUGGUAUUCUUGAGUGUCGGAGAGGAAAGUGGAAUUCCAAGUGUAGCGGUGAAAUGCGUAGAGAUUUGGAAGAACACCAGUGGCGAAGGCGACUUUCUGGACGAUGUCUGACGCUGAGGCGCGAAAGCUAGGGGAGCGAACGGGAUUAGAAACCCCUGUAGUCC
RNAcentral lists this ribosomal RNA (450 nucleotides) under uncultured bacterium. Its description in RNAcentral is "partial 16S ribosomal RNA". It matches the Rfam family "Bacterial small subunit ribosomal RNA", at positions 354 to 796 of the family's 1533-position model. The record is from RNAcentral.